RNAcentral lists this ribosomal RNA (253 nucleotides) under uncultured bacterium. Its description in RNAcentral is "partial 16S ribosomal RNA". It matches the Rfam family "Bacterial small subunit ribosomal RNA", at positions 524 to 776 of the family's 1533-position model. The record is from RNAcentral.
UACGUAGGGGGCGAGCGUUGUCCGGAGUUACUGGGCGUAAAGCGCACGCAGGCGGUCUGCUAAGUUUGGAGUGACAGUUGGUGGCUUAACUGCCAAAGUGCUUCGAAAACUGACAGACUUGAGGGCUUCAGAGGGACACGGAAUUCCGGGUGGAGUGGUGAAAUGCGUAGAGAUCCGGAGGAACACCAAAGGCUAAGGCAGUGUCCUGGGGAGUACCUGACGCUCAGGUGCGAAAGCCAGGGGAGCGAACGGG